RNAcentral lists this non-coding RNA (788 nucleotides) under Aethina tumida (small hive beetle). Lineage: Eukaryota; Metazoa; Arthropoda; Insecta; Coleoptera; Nitidulidae. The record is from RNAcentral.
AUAAAGUUUUAUUCUGGUUUUUAUAUUAGGUAAAUUUAUUUAAUUAUAUGAAAAUUUUUGUGAGAUUGAAUUAUUUUUUAAAUAGGAAUAAUUGAAGUAUUUAUUCUCAGUAAUUAGUUUUAAAUAUAAAGGUAAUUUUGAUUUAGAAAUAAAUUUUAGUAUUAACAAAGUUUGUGCCAGCAGUUGCGGUUAGACAAGCAAUACUACUUAAUAUAUAUUUAGUGUCAAUUAAUUUAAAUAAUAUAGGAAUUUAAAUUAUAAGUUUAUUAAGUGAAAUUUUAAAUUUAUUAAAUAAUUCUUUUUUGUUAAUGAAGUUGGGAAAUCUACGAUUUAAACUAGGAUUAGAUACCCUAUUAUUGUAGACGUGAACUUGUAAAACUAAAUUAGUAAAAGUUAUGUUCUUGAAAAUUAAAGAAUUUGGCGGUAUUUUAGUCUAUUCAGAGGAACCUGUCCUGUAAUUGAUAAUCCACGAUUAAUAGUACCAAUGUUUUUAAUUUGUAUAUCGUUGUAGUUUAAAUAUUUUAGGAGAAUUAUAAUAUUUAAAAUUUUUAAUAAAGAAAGUUAAUCAGAUCAAGAUGCAGUUUAUAUAUUGGUAGAGAUGGGUUACAAUAAAUAUAUUUAUGGAAAAAUAGUUGAAAAUUAUUUUGAAAAUGGAUUUGAAAGUAAUUUUAUAUAUAUAUGUAAGAUGAUUUUAGCUCUAAAAUAUGUACAUAUCGCCCGUCGCUUUCAUUACAAAGUGAAAUAAGUCGUAACAUAGUAGUCUUACUGGAAAGUGAGGCUAGACAGAU